RNAcentral lists this ribosomal RNA (465 nucleotides) under uncultured bacterium. Its description in RNAcentral is "partial 16S ribosomal RNA". It matches the Rfam family "Bacterial small subunit ribosomal RNA", at positions 28 to 507 of the family's 1533-position model. The record is from RNAcentral.
GACGAACGCUGGCGGCGUGCUUAACACAUGCAAGUCGAACGGAAAGGCCCUGCUUGCAGGGGACUCGAGUGGCGAACGGGUGAGUAACACGUGGGUGUUCUCCGCUGCAGAUCGGGAUAUGCUUGCAGAACUGGGGCUAAUACCGGAGAGGGGCGCUCUUGAGUGUGGUGGGGGGAAAGUUUUUUCGGGGUGGGGGGAGCUGGCGGGCUAUCAGCUUGUUGGUGGGGUAAUGGCCUACCCAGGCGGCGAAGGGGGGCCGGCCCGGGGGGGUGGACGGCCAAAAUGGGACUGGGAGACCGCCCAGGCGCCUACGGGAGGACGCAGUGGGGGAUAUUGCACAAUUGGCGGGAGGCUUGGGCAGCCACGGCGGGUGGCGGAUUAAGGCCUUCGGGUUGUAAACUCGUUUCGCUAGGUACGAAGGUGUGAGUGACGGUACCUGGAUAAGAAGCACCGGCUAACUACGUG